RNAcentral lists this ribosomal RNA (305 nucleotides) under uncultured bacterium. Its description in RNAcentral is "bacterial SSU rRNA". It matches the Rfam family "Bacterial small subunit ribosomal RNA", at positions 332 to 655 of the family's 1533-position model. The record is from RNAcentral.
GUUACCCUACGGGAGGCAGCAGUGGGGAAUAUUGCGCAAUGGGCGAAAGCCUGACGCAGCAACGCCGCGUGAGUGAUGACGGCCUUCGGGUUGUAAAGCUCUGUCUUCAGGGACGAUAAUGACGGUACCUGAGGAGGAAGCCACGGCUAACUACGUGCCAGCAGCCGCGGUAAUACGUAGGUGGCGAGCGUUGUCCGGAUUUACUGGGCGUAAAGGGAGCGUAGGCGGACUUUUAAGUGAGAUGUGAAAUACUCGGGCUCAACUUGAGUGCUGCAUUUCAAACUGGAAGUCUAGAGUGCAGGAGG